RNAcentral lists this ribosomal RNA (265 nucleotides) under Rhipicephalus sanguineus (brown dog tick). RNAcentral's name for it is "partial 12S ribosomal RNA". Lineage: Eukaryota; Metazoa; Arthropoda; Arachnida; Ixodida; Ixodidae. The record is from RNAcentral.
AUUAUGAAAAGCAAAAAAUUAUGGGCGGUAUUUUAAGCUUUUCAGAGGAAUUUGCUCUUUAAUGGAUAAAACACCAAAAUCUUACUUAAAUUUGUUACUUCAAUUUGUAUACCACUAUAAAAACAAUUUAUAACUUUAAUUGUUUAAAUUUAUUAAAUUAAAAUAUAUUAAGUCAAGGUGCAGUAAAAAUUUAAGAAUGAAGUGAAUUACAUUACUUUUUAGUGAAAAAAAAAAUUAUAAUAACACUUAGGAUUUGAAAGUAAAU